RNAcentral lists this long non-coding RNA (6834 nucleotides) under Arabidopsis thaliana (thale cress). Its description in RNAcentral is "long non-coding RNA (ATHA_LNC000446)". The record is from RNAcentral. Lineage: Eukaryota; Viridiplantae; Streptophyta; Magnoliopsida; Brassicales; Brassicaceae.
CUCGUAAAGUUAUCAAAUCUCCAAGAACUUUCAUUACGUGACUGCCGAGAGCUCAAGCGUCUUCCCCCUCUUCCAUGUAAACUGGAGCAGCUAAACCUAGCAAACUGUUUCUCAUUGGAGAGUGUAUCCGACCUUUCAGAGUUAACGAUCUUGACGGAUCUCAAUCUCACAAACUGUGCGAAAGUGGUUGAUAUUCCAGGCCUAGAGCACUUGACGGCUCUGAAAAGAUUAUACAUGACCGGAUGUAACUCCAACUACUCCCUUGCAGUAAAGAAAAGACUUUCCAAGGUGAUUCCAAAAACUCCACAGAAUCUCAUCAUGGCCUAUUUAAAAAACUUUCUUACACCACUUUUGAUUUGUUACUGCAGGCUUCUUUGAAGAUGAUGCGGAAUCUGAGCUUGCCUGGAAACAGGGUCCCGGACUGGUUCUCGCAAGGCCCUGUCACAUUCUCAGCUCAACCGAACAGAGAGCUCAGAGGUGUAAUCAUUGCUGUUGUUGUGGCUCUUAAUGAUGAAACCGAAGAUGACGACUAUCAGCUGCCUGAUGUGAUGGAGGUUCAAGCCCAAAUUCAUAAACUUGAUCAUCACAAAUGCACCAACACAUUGCAUCUCUCCGGAGUGCCUAGAACAAAUAACGAUCAGCUUCACAUCUGCCGAUACUCAGCUUUUCACCCACUGGUUACGAUGUUGAAAGACGGGUACACCAUACAGGUGAUCAAACGAAACCCACCAAUCAAACAAGGCGUUGAGCUAAAGAUGCAUGGCAUUCAUCUCGUUUACGAGGGGGAUGAUGAUUUGGAAGGCAGAGAAAAUACUUUACCCGAGACUCAACAAACCGUUUCUCAGAAACUUGCCAAUUUUUUCAGCUCUUUCGAAGAAGAAGAAGGUGAAACCAUCUCAGAAAGUGAAUCUACAGUUAUAUGAUCUGCUAGUGCAGAUAGGUUAAGAAACUGCUCACAAAUAAUCUUAAUCGAUACAAAAUGUUUGUUGCUCAUAUACGAUUUGGUGUUUUGGCUUUUGUGUUUUUCUUUGUUCCUUGUCUCUUUAGUCUUUACCUUUUGAUAAUACAAACAAUAUAAAUAAAUAAAACCAAAAAGAAGAGGAAACUCUUGUUUCCAAUGAUCUCGGGCAUUCUUUAAUAACAAUCCAACAGAACUGUGAAGGAAUCUUCUUCUGUGUUUUUUGUUUUGACGGCUUCCAUCUUUAAGAAAGUCAAUGGAUAGAAAAGAAUAAAAUAGAACAUGUUGCUUGUGUGUCCUAUAGCACUAACGAAAAAGAACACUGCAUCUGCGUAUCCUUUUUGUCUUUCAAAACCUUAAUUAGCAGUGUGUGCCGUUCUGAUUUAAGAUAGAUAUGGAACUGCCUGACGUUCCGGUGUGGAGAAGAGUCAUGUCCGUUGUUUGGGAUUAUAUAAAACUGUUUGCGUGUGAUGUAACACUAAAGCCUAAAGACUCUAAACUAUAAUAACUAUAUAACUUCUUUACUGAUUGUCGUGAAAGAGUUUCUGCAUUCUUUGAGGCGUUGACUUUCAAUAUUGAUAUCGAAGAAGAAAGAUCGGAGAUAAUGAUGAAGACCGGUGCUGUUGUUUCCAAUCCACGUUCGAGGGUCAAGUGGGACGCAUUCCUGAGUUUCCAAAGAGACACGAGCCACAAUUUCACGGAUCGUCUCUAUGAAGCGCUUGUCAAGGAAGAGCUCCGGGUUUGGAACGAUGAUUUGGAACGUGUGGAUCAUGAUCAUGAUCAUGAGCUACGUCCAAGUCUCGUGGAGGCUAUAGAGGACUCGGUGGCUUUUGUCGUCGUCUUAUCCCCUAACUACGCUAACUCUCACCUGCGCCUCGAAGAAUUAGCUAAGCUCUGCGAUCUAAAAUGUUUGAUGGUACCGAUCUUUUAUAAGGUUGAACCACGGGAAGUUAAGGAACAGAACGGUCCUUUCGAAAAGGAUUUUGAAGAGCAUUCCAAAAGAUUUGGCGAGGAGAAGAUACAACGAUGGAAGGGAGCUAUGACUACGGUCGGAAAUAUCUCCGGAUUCAUUUGCGGGUAUGUAUGACUUCAAUUUCUCAUCUCUAGUUUUGUUUCCGCAUUUCUAAUCUCUUUUAUACAAGUAAGUUUGGUAGAGAUACUUUGACAUAUGCUACAUCAUCAUCUAAAACUUCUAAGCAUCAUCUUUAUGUUUCUUGAAAUCAUCUCUCCCAUUCACCAUUUAAUUUACUACGAAUUUUCGAAAAUUUUGGAAUUGGAAAAGACUCUGGUUCUCUUAUUGUCUUUCAACUACUAAAGCCAAGUUUUUGUUCAGAGAUCAAAACUAUAUGAGUAACUAUAGGACAUAGGCAAAAUAUUCAUUAGAAUUUCUUUGAUCUGUUAUUUGCUUUGAUUCGAUUAGAAAAUUUCGGAUAGAUGUGACUACACGAAGCAAAUCAAAAUACUAAAAAUCAAUAUCGGUUAAACUGUAGUGCUCUGCAAUACGUAUAUAGAAAUAGACAAUAAUUACAGAUAUAAGUAUUCAUAUAUAUAUAUAUAUAUAUAUGUAUAUAAGUUUUGUGUAUAUUUAUUCAUCAAAUUAGUUAUUUAAAUAUUAAAUUUUAAACAAAUCAAGAAAAGUAUAUUUGAAUAUAAUGUUGUUAUUAUUGGUUUAAAAUUUGUUUUUAACAUAAUUUAUUUUUAUAAUUAAUUAAAAACUUUUAAGAAGUAACUCGGAUACACCAAAAAUCUAGGAUAUCAUUUUGUGCCAAGGUACUACUAAUUAAUCUAAGCUUAGAGUAAAAAAGAUGAGUCAAGUAAUUUAACACUGCGUGUCGUUCUGAUUGACUACAGAAAGAACUGUGUGUCGUUUCAGAAAUAAGGGAAAAAGAGAGUCAAAUGCGAAGUUUUUUUUUUCUUUUUUAACAAAACCACAAAGUGUUGACCUUUUCCCACAAAAAUCGAAAAGCUUGGUCGUCAUCGUUGUAAUGUCCCAGAUUCUGGAAUCCGAGAAUCGAAAAGCGUCAUGAAGUGAGGUUUGCAGGAGAUCCAAUUGGAGAUGGAGACUGGCGUUGUUCCGAAUAGGCUAAAGUACAGCGUCUUUCUGAGCUUCCGAGGAUUCGACACGCGAACCAACUUCUGUGAGCGUCUGUAUAUCGCUCUCAACGAAAAGCAAAAUGUCCGAGUCUUUCGCGACAACGAGGGUAUGGAAAAAGGUGAUAAGAUCGAUCCAAGUCUCUUCGAAGCCAUUGAGGACUCGGCUGCCUCCGUCAUCAUCUUAUCCACUAACUACGCUAACUCUUCUUGGUGCCUAGAUGAAUUAGCUUUGCUCUGCGAUCUUAGAUCGUCUCUGAAACGUCCCAUGAUACCUAUCUUCUAUGGAGUCAAUCCCGAGGAUGUCCGCAAACAGAGCGGUGAGUUCAGGAAAGAUUUUGAAGAGAAAGCGAAAAGUUUUGAUGAGGAGACGAUUCAGCGAUGGAAGCGAGCUAUGAAUUUAGUCGGAAAUAUCCCUGGAUAUGUUUGCACGUAGGAAACCAUGUAGACAUAUACUCAUACUCGAUAACAUGGUUUUUUUAUUUAGCUGCUUUUUGUUGAAAUUCCGUUGUUGUUGGCAGAGCAAAGACUGUUGGAGAUGACAAUGAAGGCAUAAACAGAGAGAAAGUAGAUGACAUGAUUGAUCUGGUGGUGAAAAAGGUUGUAGCUGCUGUGAGGAAUAGACCAGAGAUAGUUGCAGACUACACUGUUGGUCUGGAAUCACCUAUAAAGGAUUUGAUGAAACUGUUCAACACUGAAUCCAGUUCUGGCAUCCAAGUCAUGGGACUUUAUGGUAUGGGCGGUAUUGGGAAGACUACCCUUGCAAAAGCCUUUUAUAACAAGAUCAUUGUUAACUUCAACCGUCAUCGAGUUUUCAUCGAAAGCGUUAGGGGAAAAUCGUCAGACCAAGAUGGUUUAGUCAAUCUACAAAAAACUCUCAUCAAGGAACUUUUCCGUUUGGUACCUGAAAUAGAGGAUGUUAGCAUAGGCCUGGAAAAGAUAAAAGAGAAUGUUCAUGAGAAGAAGAUUAUUGUGGUUUUGGAUGAUGUUGAUCACAUAGACCAGGUUAAUGCGCUGGUUGGUGAAACAAGCUGGUAUGGUGAAGGAAGUCUUAUAGUCAUCACUACCAGAGAUUCUGAGAUUCUGAGUAAGCUCUCAGUGAACCAACAGUAUGAGGUCAAGUGCUUGACUGAACCGCAGGCGUUGAAGCUCUUUAGUUUUUAUUCACUACGAAAAGAGAAACCACCAACACAGGGUUUAUUGGAGUUGUCCAAGAAGAUUGCCGAGGUGACGGGACUGUUGCCACUGGCUGUUAAAGUGUUUGGUUCUCAUUUUUAUGACAAGGACGAAAACGAAUGGCAAGUUGAACUAGAGAAGCUGAAAACCCAACAAGACAAACUUCACGGUGUUCUGGCUCUGAGUUUCAAAUCUUUAGACGAAGAAGAAAAGAAGAUAUUCCUCGACAUUGCAUGUCUCUUUCUCAAAAUGGAUAUAACAAAAGAAGAAGUUGUCGACAUACUGAAAGGAUGUGGGUUAAACGCCGAGGCUGCUCUCCGUGUUCUUAUACAGAAAUCUCUCCUUACAAUCUUGACAGACGACACUCUGUGGAUGCAUGAUCAGAUCAGAGACAUGGGUAGGCAGAUGGUUCAUAAAGAAAGCAGCGAUGAUCCUGAGAUGCGGAGUAGACUCUGGGAUCGUGGUGAAAUAAUGAACGUAUUGGACUAUAUGAAGGUUAUUUAUAUCUAUAUCUUCAUUUAUAUAUCAUUUGUGUUUGACUUACAUUCUCACGACCGUGUUUUUUUGUAAUGAGAUAACAGGGAACAUCAUCCAUUCGAGGAAUCGUACUAGACUUUAAUAAGAAGUUUGCGAGGGACCAUACUGCAGAUGAAAUUUUCUCGAGUAAUCUACGCAACAAUCCGGGUAUCUACUCUGUAUUCAAUUACCUGAAGAAUAAGUUAGUAAGAUUUCCAGCAGAGGAAAAGCCAAAAAGGUCUGAAAUCACCAUUCCCGUAGAAUCUUUUGCACCAAUGAAGAAGUUGAGACUUCUUCAGAUUAAUAACGUGGAACUGGAAGGAGAUCUUAAACUUCUCCCAUCUGAACUCAAGUGGAUACAGUGGAAAGGUUUCCCAUUAGAAAAUCUCCCUCCGGAUAUUCUUUCUAGGCAACUUGGUGUUCUUGAUCUUUCAGAGAGUGGAGUAAGACGAGUCAAGACUUUGCCCCGCAAAAGGGUAAGCUUUCUUAUUUCCUAUAGCUUGGGGAGUUAUAUAGUUUCACUGCUAAAAUAAUUCUUUCUGCUUUUCAGGGGGAUGAGAACUUGAAAGUUGUAAAUUUGCGUGGUUGCCACGGCUUAGAAGCCAUUCCUGAUUUAUCAAACCAUAAUGCACUAGAAAAGCUUGUUCUUGAGCGAUGCAACCUUCUGGUGAAGGUUCCUAGAUCAGUUGGUAAUCUGGGAAAAUUGCUUCAGCUGGACCUUAGAAGGUGCUCAAGUCUUUCUGAAUUUCUUGGGGAUGUUUCUGGACUGAAGUGUCUUGAAAAAUUUUUCCUCUCUGGCUGUUCAAAUCUGAGUGUGUUACCAGAAAACAUUGGUUCCAUGCCAUGUUUGAAAGAGCUUCUUCUUGAUGGAACUGCGAUAAGUAACUUACCGUACUCUAUUUUUCGCCUCCAAAAGCUUGAAAAGCUUAGUCUAAUGGGUUGCAGGUCUAUUGAAGAGCUACCUUCGUGUGUAGGAUAUUUGACAUCGCUCGAAGAUUUAUAUCUUGAUGAUACUGCAUUGCGAAACCUUCCUAGUUCUAUUGGAGAUCUAAAAAAUCUCCAGAAGCUGCAUCUGAUGCGCUGCACGUCCCUUUCUACGAUUCCUGAGACUAUAAAUAAGCUCAUGUCAUUGAAGGAAUUAUUCAUCAAUGGAAGCGCGGUGGAGGAGCUACCUAUAGAAACCGGCUCACUCCUAUGUUUGACUGACCUCUCUGCAGGAGAUUGCAAAUUUCUGAAACAGGUUCCGAGUUCAAUUGGUGGAUUAAAUUCUCUUCUCCAACUUCAGUUGGAUAGCACCCCAAUUGAAGCUCUACCAGAAGAGAUUGGAGACUUGCACUUUAUUCGACAACUUGACUUGAGAAACUGCAAAUCUCUGAAGGCUCUGCCUAAAACAAUCGGAAAGAUGGACACACUCUAUAGCUUAAACCUUGUAGGCUCUAACAUUGAGGAACUGCCGGAAGAAUUUGGCAAGCUGGAAAACCUAGUUGAACUGCGAAUGAACAACUGUAAAAUGCUCAAACGGCUUCCUAAAUCGUUUGGAGACUUGAAAUCUCUUCACCGUCUGUACAUGCAGGAAACUUUGGUCGCGGAGUUGCCAGAAAGUUUCGGAAACCUCUCAAAUUUAAUGGUACUGGAAAUGCUGAAGAAGCCUCUUUUUAGAAUUUCUGAGAGUAAUGUUCCAGGUACAAGCGAAGAACCUCGUUUUGUAGAAGUACCAAACUCUUUCUCAAAGCUCUUGAAGCUUGAGGAACUAGAUGCUUGCAGCUGGAGAAUAUCGGGUAAAAUCCCUGAUGAUCUUGAGAAGCUUUCGUGUUUGAUGAAACUGAAUCUGGGGAAUAAUUAUUUUCAUAGUCUUCCGUCUAGCCUCGUAAAGUUAUCAAAUCUCCAAGAACUUUCAUUACGUGACUGCCGAGAGCUCAAGCGUCUUCCCCCUCUUCCAUGUAAACUGGAGCAGCUAAACCUAGCAAACUGUUUCUCAUUGGAGAGUGUAUCCGACCUUUCAGAGUUAACGAUCUUGACGGAUCUCAAUCUCACAAACUGUGCGAAAGUGGUUGAUAUUCCAGGCCUAGAGCACUUGACGGCUCUGAAAAGAU